GAGACCUUAGUUAAAUUAAUAACCCUACCAUGUCGAGGUGAAAUUGGGGGUGAAAGCCCCCCGGGUCUCC
Molecule: transfer RNA, 70 nt
Filed under: Paraplagusia bilineata (doublelined tonguesole)
Lineage: Eukaryota; Metazoa; Chordata; Actinopteri; Pleuronectiformes; Cynoglossidae
Description: tRNA-Asp
Source: RNAcentral